UAUUUUUUUAGUAUAAGAGUAUAGAUGACUUCCAAUCAUCAGGUUUUGGUUUAAAUCCAGAAAAAAAUAA
RNAcentral lists this transfer RNA (70 nucleotides) under Zhangixalus omeimontis (Omei tree frog). RNAcentral describes it as "tRNA-Gly". It matches the Rfam family "tRNA". Rfam says of the family: Transfer RNA (tRNA) molecules are approximately 80 nucleotides in length. Lineage: Eukaryota; Metazoa; Chordata; Amphibia; Anura; Rhacophoridae. The record is from RNAcentral.